GACGAACGCUGGCGGCGUGCUUAACACAUGCAAGUCGAACGGAAAGGCCCCUUUGGGGGUACUCGAGUGGCGAACGGGUGAGUAACACGUGAGUAACCUGCCCUUGACUUCGGGAUAACUUCAGGAAACUGGGGCUAAUACCGGAUAGGAAUCCUUGCUGCAUGGUGGGGGUUGGAAAGCUUCGGCGGUUUUGGAUGGACUCGCGGCUUAUCAGCUUGUUGGUGGGGUAGUGGCUUACCAAGGCUUUGACGGGUAGCCGGCCUGAGAGGGCGACCGGCCACAUUGGGACUGAGAGACGGCCCAGACUCCUACGGGAGGCAGCAGUGGGGAAUAUUGCACAAUGGGCGGAAGCCUGAUGCAGCAACGCCGCGUGCGGGAUGACGGCCUUCGGGUUGUAAACCGCUUUCAGCAGGGGCGAAGCUUGUGGUGACGUUACCUGCAGAAGAAGCAGCGGCUAACUACGUG
Molecule: ribosomal RNA, 465 nt
Filed under: uncultured bacterium
Lineage: Bacteria
Description: partial 16S ribosomal RNA
Rfam family: Bacterial small subunit ribosomal RNA
Source: RNAcentral